This is a long non-coding RNA of Phymastichus coffea, 571 nucleotides long. RefSeq lists it as uncharacterized. NCBI's taxonomy places the organism in Eukaryota, Metazoa, Arthropoda, Insecta, Hymenoptera, Eulophidae. The transcript has 4 exons. The record is from RefSeq and is a predicted model, not a curated record.
AAAUAAAUAAGAUAUGAUGAUUUUCUUUUUUUACAUUACAUGUUUGUCGGGCUGUCUUCGCAAGGGUCUUGUAGACUACAAAACACAUAUGGAUAUUGGAUAAUGCAGAUAUGUAAACAGUGCAGUAUAAAAGGAUUUAUAUCACUCUGGUGGGAUUGGUAACCUGGAUCUUGGCAAAUAGAUGCAUGGACUCAAGAAAAUAGAGGAAAUUGAAGAUUUUUAAAACUUAUUGACUCAAGAAAAUAAAGUUAACAUCUUUACAGCAUGAUCCCGACAUGAGUUUUGAAUGGAUUGAGCUGAAAUUUUACACAGAUGUUCUUUAACAUAUCUGUUACAGCUUAAGCGUAGCAGAUUUUGAGAAAAAUAAAAAAGUUUUCUGCUUAAGUUGUGAUGACACAAAAAAGGGGAAAGAAGCAUUUGUCAGAAUUAAUCUGGACCAACUCAUUUUUUUUAAAGCCUACGAUAAAGCACUUUUGACUCUGGAAUGUUUAUAGCAUCUUUCCAGCUACUCGGAGGGAAAGGGAAAAAGGAUAUCUGUAAAUGUUUAAAUGGGUCAAGUAUGCAGCGUACU